This 507-nucleotide ribosomal RNA is filed under the name uncultured bacterium. Its description in RNAcentral is "bacterial SSU rRNA". It matches the Rfam family "Bacterial small subunit ribosomal RNA", at positions 15 to 507 of the family's 1533-position model. The record is from RNAcentral.
GAUCAUGGCUCAGAUUCGAACGCUGGCGGCAUGCUUUACACAUGCAAGGUCGAACGGCAGCGAGAGAGAAGCUUGCUUCUCUUGUCGGCGAGUGGCGAACGGGUGAGUAACACAUCGGAACGUACCCUGUAGUGGGGGAUAACUACUCGAAAGAGUAGCUAAUACCGCAUACAACCUGAGGGUAAAAGUGGGGGACCGCAAGGCCUCACGCUAUAGGAGCGGCCGAUGGAAGAUUAGCUAGUUGGUAGGGUAAAGGCCUACCAAGGCGACGAUCUUUAGCGGGUCUGAGAGGACGAUCCGCCACACUGGGACUGAGACACGGCCCAGACUCCUACGGGAGGCAGCAGUGGGGAAUUUUGGACAAUGGGCGAAAGCCUGAUCCAGCAAUGCCGCGUGAGUGAAGAAGGCCUUCGGGUUGUAAAGCUCUUUUGUUUGGGAAGAAAUCCUUAGUGCUAAUACCGCUGGGGGAUGACGGUACCAAAAGAAUAAGCACCGGCUAACUACGUG